RNAcentral lists this ribosomal RNA (292 nucleotides) under uncultured bacterium. Its description in RNAcentral is "partial 16S ribosomal RNA". It matches the Rfam family "Bacterial small subunit ribosomal RNA", at positions 505 to 796 of the family's 1533-position model. The record is from RNAcentral.
GUGACAGCAGCCGCGGUAAUACGGGGGGGACUAGCGUUGUUCGGAUUUACUGGGCGUAAAGGGCGCGUAGGCGGACCUUCAAGUCGGAUGUGAAAUCUGUCGGCUUAACUGACAGUCUGCACCCGAUACUGUUGGCCUUGAGUACGGGAGAGGAGAGCGGAAUUCCUGGUGUAGCGGUGAAAUGCGUAGAUAUCAGGAAGAACACCGGUUGCGAAGGCGGCUCUCUGGACCGAUACUGACGCUUAAGCGCGAAGGCUUGGGGAGCAAACAGGAUUAGAAACCCUGGUAGUCC